RNAcentral lists this transfer RNA (75 nucleotides) under Exiguobacterium sp. RIT341. RNAcentral describes it as "tRNA-Val". It matches the Rfam family "tRNA". Rfam says of the family: Transfer RNA (tRNA) molecules are approximately 80 nucleotides in length. Their secondary structure includes four short double-helical elements and three loops (D, anti-codon, and T loops). Lineage: Bacteria; Bacillati; Bacillota; Bacilli; Caryophanales. The record is from RNAcentral.
UGAUUCUGUAGCUCAGCUGGGAGAGCGCUACCUUGACAGGGUAGAGGUCGCUGGUUCGAGCCCAGUCAGAAUCAU